This is a long non-coding RNA of Helianthus annuus (common sunflower), 720 nucleotides long. RefSeq lists it as uncharacterized. The transcript is spliced from 3 exons. The record is from RefSeq and is a predicted model, not a curated record. NCBI's taxonomy places the organism in Eukaryota, Viridiplantae, Streptophyta, Magnoliopsida, Asterales, Asteraceae.
GUAUAUCUUACACUAGUCAUAUAUUUCAUAAUAUCCUUUUGUCGUAUUACGAAAAAGAUAAUUUAUGACGUAAGCCAUAGUAGGCUAAAAAGUGUUAAGAAAUGGAAUUAUAAGUAAGUGACCGCACGGUGUAAAUCGGAGCGAGUCAUACAUAUAUUUACGAGGUGGUAAUAAAUAUCAUCUCGCUAAUAUAAUCGGUCAAUUCGGCCAAACGGGUCAAAAGGUGAAAUUAUCACCCUUUGACAAUAUCGACUAAUGGGUUGUCAAGAUGCAUGAUUUUAGGAAAUAAAUAGCACAUGGAUGCUUACAUCGCUAUCGCUUAGCAACCACUAAGGAAAUGUAUUGAAAUGGGUCAAUAUAUUGAUCCGAGCCAGGUGAAGAUGGGAUAAGCGGUUUGAAAGAUACGAAAGUUUUCGUGCAAAUAAACGGCAAAAUAGGAAAGCUGGAAAGCAGGGGCCACCGUAACUUACGGUGCCACCGUAAGUUACGGUGGAGCUGAAGGCUUUACGGCAGCCCCCUACUGAUUUACGGUAGGGGCAUGUCACACCAGGGGCCACCGUAACUUACGGUGCCACCGUAAGUUACGGUGGAGGCCAGUUGGAAAUCCAUGUUUUGAGAUCAAAAGUUUAACGUUCUUUUUGGAUGCCGGAAGACGAUCAAGCUCAUCGAAGGACCGAACACGAUAAAGAUACAUGCUUCCGCACAUUUCCUCGUCGUAAA